AUGACAACGACGCCAAAGAUGACGAGGCCCCGAGCUCGAGCACGACCACUACGACGCACUGCACAAAGGCCCCUGCUUCCUGCCUGCCCUUCCCUUUGCUUGGAAGAUAGCUCUCUUCAGAUGUUGUUCCUGUCCUUCUCCUUGGUUGUUGAGCGCUGCACUCACUCAUGUAUGCAGGUUGAGUCCAAGCACAAUAGGCGAGAAGACGACGGUGACGCAGAGGAGGACGAGGACCCGCGCUCUAGCCCGACCACGACUAUGCACCGCACGGUCCCUGCUGCCUGGCUGUCGCCAAUUGCCCCCUUCCCUUUACAGUACUACUCUAUUUGUUUUCAUUGCUUUUCACCCAGUUUUGCACACUUUCUGGCCCUUCACUUUUUUGUGUGA
This 387-nucleotide ribosomal RNA is filed under the name Triticum aestivum (bread wheat). Its description in RNAcentral is "partial small subunit ribosomal RNA". The record is from RNAcentral. Lineage: Eukaryota; Viridiplantae; Streptophyta; Magnoliopsida; Poales; Poaceae.